GACGAACGCUGGCGGCGUGCUUAACACAUGCAAGUCGAACGGAAAGGCCCUGCUUGCAGGGUACUCGAGUGGCGAACGGGUGAGUAACACGUGGGUGAUCUGCCCUGCACUUCGGGAUAAGCCUGGGCAACUGGGUCUAAUACCGGAUAGGAGCCAUUUUUAGUGUGAUGGUUGGAAAGUUUUUUCGGUGUAGGAUGAGCUCGCGGCCUAUCAGCUUGUUGGUGGGGUAAUGGCCUACCAAGGCGGCGACGGGUAGCCGGCCUGAGGGGGUGGACGGCCACAUUGGGACUGAGAUACGGCCCAGACUCCUACGGGAGGCAGCAGUGGGGAAUAUUGCACAAUGGGCGCAAGCCUGAUGCAGCGACGCCGCGUGGGGGAUGACGGCCUUCGGGUUGGAAACUCCUUUCGCCAGGGACGAAGCUUUUUGUGACGGUACCUAGAUAAGAAGCACCGGCUAACUACGUG
Molecule: ribosomal RNA, 465 nt
Filed under: uncultured bacterium
Lineage: Bacteria
Description: partial 16S ribosomal RNA
Rfam family: Bacterial small subunit ribosomal RNA
Source: RNAcentral